This is a long non-coding RNA of Rhincodon typus (whale shark), 685 nucleotides long. RefSeq lists it as uncharacterized. NCBI's taxonomy places the organism in Eukaryota, Metazoa, Chordata, Chondrichthyes, Orectolobiformes, Rhincodontidae. The transcript is spliced from 2 exons. The record is from RefSeq and is a predicted model, not a curated record.
GCCCAGCUGUGGUCAAGGAGAGUCCCUGAGACUGAGAGGGAAGGUCACCUAUCCCUUUGGUGGCUAAAACCAGCAAGGACCCCUCUCACAAACACAAGCACACAUCUUGUGAUGAUCUAUGGUUGGGCUGAAACUUAGUCAACCCCCUCUCCUGGCAAUUUCUCUUGUAUCCCUUUCUUAUAGCUACCUGUACGUGGUACCAUUGAUCCCAUGGGUAUUGGAUCUGGGUUUACAAAACUUGAAGCUCCAGACCACGCCGAAGAACCUGGGGCUGCUCAAUGGCUGAUGUCUUAAGCAGGAGGCUGGCAGAGGGGCCAUUGAAGCUACCACUGCAUGUGGACAUGGAUUGCUGCACUAACUGAGAUGUCACAAAUGGAAACGAUCACUGCAAACAGCACCACUUCUAACCAAGAAGAACUCCUGCGACUCCAGGAUUUUAAUAACUGAUUUCAAUAACUCUUACCUUACGCUACGCAUGAUGGCAGCUAGUGGAGAGCUUUCCUUUGAUUCUAAUUUACAGCAAUUUCAUUAGAACCUUGAAUCUCAAACUCAAUCAAUUACUGCCUUACCUCUGGAAUCCAGCUUUUCUUCAUGUUUGAACUAAGGCUGUACUGAGGUCAGGAGCCAAGUGGCCCUGAUGGAUCCUAAUUGUAGCAGGUUAUUGCUGAAUAAAUGCAGAUUAAUA